GACGAACGCUGGCGGCGUGCUUAACACAUGCAAGUCGAACGGGAAGGCCCUGCUUUUGUGGGGUGCUCGAGUGGCGAACGGGUGAGUAACACGUGAGUAACCUGCCCUUGACUUUGGGAUAACUUCAGGAAACUGGGGCGAAUACCGGAUAGGAGCUCCUGCUGCAUGGUGGGGGUUGGAAAGUUUCGGCGGUUGGGGAUGGACUCGCGGCUUAUCAGCUUGUUGGUGGGGUAGUGGCUUACCAAGGCUUUGACGGGUAGCCGGCCUGAGAGGGUGACCGGGCACAUUGGGACUGAGAUACGGCCCAGAGUCCUACGGGAGGCAGCAGUGGGGAAUAUUGCACAAUGGGUGGAAGCCUUAUGCAGCAACGCCGCGUGCGGGAUGACGGCGUUCGGGUUGUAAACCGCUUUCGCCUGUGACGAAGCGUGAGUGACGGUAAUGGGUAGAGAAGCACCGGCUAGCUACGUG
Molecule: ribosomal RNA, 468 nt
Filed under: uncultured bacterium
Lineage: Bacteria
Description: partial 16S ribosomal RNA
Rfam family: Bacterial small subunit ribosomal RNA
Source: RNAcentral